CAGGAUCGUCCAAGGUAGAUUGUGUAACUUGUGCCAGGGGAUAUUAUCGCAACUUAGACGGGACACAGUGCUGUAGCAACUCAGGAUGCGAUUCGUGCACUGGAACAAAUAAUGCCGUUUGCUCUGUCUGUAAGCCAGGAUGGUUUCUCUACCAAACCUCAUGUGACCAGUGUGGUACCACUUGCGUAUCACCAUCAAAUGGAACGGCGAGGUGUGACCCGGUAACCGGUAGUUGCUACUAUGGAUGUCAACCAAACUACCACGGUAGCAAGUGUCAACGACUCUGCAAUCUAGCCAACUGCAUCACCUGUACCUACAACGAGCCCUCAGACAACUUGACCUGCGCUGUCUGUGUUGCUGGAAGAUACGGCCCCUACUGUAUAUCAUGCAACAGUAACUGUCUGAGAGACACCGGAGACAUAUGCAUUCACAACGGUACAUGCUUAGACGGAUGCAGACCGGGUUACAGGGGUGAUAAAUGUGAUGUGUCAUGUGAGGCUACACUCGGUCUUUCAAACUGUG
Molecule: long non-coding RNA, 522 nt
Organism: Dreissena polymorpha
Lineage: Eukaryota; Metazoa; Mollusca; Bivalvia; Myida; Dreissenidae
Exons: 5
Source: RefSeq, a predicted model, not a curated record